ACCUUAAGCCGGUAAGCUAACCUAGCAAUAGGAGGCAGCCGACCACGGUGGGGUCAAUGACUGGGGUGAAGUCGUAACAAGGUAGCUGUAGGUGAACCUGCAGAAGGAUCA
Molecule: ribosomal RNA, 111 nt
Filed under: uncultured eukaryote
Lineage: Eukaryota
Description: partial small subunit ribosomal RNA
Rfam family: Bacterial small subunit ribosomal RNA
Source: RNAcentral